This 3337-nucleotide long non-coding RNA is filed under the name Marmota monax (woodchuck). Lineage: Eukaryota; Metazoa; Chordata; Mammalia; Rodentia; Sciuridae. The record is from RNAcentral.
AGUGUCCCUGUGGAGGAGGUUCAGAGGAUAAGAGGAAAGGCGGGGCAGCAUGGAGUUCAGGGGCCAAGAAGGACAGGACACUGCCUGGAUGCCCGCGGGGCUGAGGUGAGGAAGGACCCGGUCUCUGCAGGGCACCUGGGUGUGCAGGGUGGGCAGAGCCAGGCGGGUUUCCAGCCUCAGCAGUGUGGGACCAGAGUUCAGCUCAGUCUUGAGGAAACUGCAAUCAGUGUGUCCCCCCACCCUGUGACCUGGGGAUUGAACCUGGCACUCUACCCCGGAGCCACUCCCCCAGUCCUGCUUAUUUUAUGCCCAGGCUGGCCCUGAACUGAAUGACCCUCCCACUACAGCCUCCCGAGUGACCGGGAACACAGGCUUGUGCCACCGUGCUUGGCAGCAAAGGUACUUGUCAACGUAUUGCCACUGGAGAGUCAUAAAGGCUCGUGGACAUGCCCCAUGCAGUGAGCUGACACCAGUGUGUCAAGGAAAAGUGACAGGAAAGUCCAGGGUCACCUGGGACUGCUGCUGAAGUUGGGGCUGCGGUUGGGACACAGGCCUCGCCCCCUGAGGGCCCCAUAGCAGCAGCAUCCGCUGCUGGGAGCAGAAGUGGCAGCACUUCCACAUGGGCCCGCGUGAGGCAGCUUGGCUGAGGGAACUGUCCUGGCUCCCGGUGCCCAGGCAUGAGGACAGAAGCCCUGUGAGUAGCAAGGGCACCACAAGGGUUUUAGGCCCCAGGAGCCUCAGCUAUGAAACGCUCAUUGGGACCAAGCAAUGAGUAAAGGUGAGGAGCCUCCCAGUGACCAUGCAGACCCGGAGGGGAAGCAAUGACGUUUUGAGAUGAGGAGAGGACAGUUGCCGAGUCUCCGUGGCUGAAUUGGGUAGCAUGUCAGGCGCAGCUGGAGAGAAGCAGCGGAAGCCAGGUGUGAAACUGCUAGAAAUUCUCAAAAAUUGGUGCAAGACUGUGUCCACAGUUGUCGUUAGUACGACUCCUAUCAAGUUGAAGAGAAACCCACGUGUAUGCAUGUUGUGGAGAACAUGAAAGGAUCCUGGGAACAGAGGAAGAGGCCCCUGCCCGUCCAGGCAUGACCAACAGAGACGAGGUGGCAGGAGAGGGUAGAGCGGUGUGUACCACCCAGGACCGAGCCCAGCAAGGUCACCUGCAAGCAGGAAGGCCAAAUACGUUUUCAGAUGCAUCAAGGUGAGAAUGUCCUGCCAUGUGGGGUUCUGUGGAUGUGCAGACCAAUGGAAGAGCAAGAGCAUUAGCACCAAGAAUCAUGGCCUCAAAACGCAUCAAGCAACGACUGGUAGGAUCAUACCAGGUUUUAAGACAUGCUGAAACGUCAUGGUAGUAAACAUAAAAGAAGGAACAAAAGCAAACUACUAUUUGGGCUUAAAAACAGACCAACAGAGCAUCCGGCAGCUCAGAGGGACCUGGGCUAUGGUAAAGAUGGCAGAACAAACCACAAGCUCUCCACGUGCAGAAAAACGGAGUGGUGGCCCGUCCAGGGCCACACCAAAGCUGGCCCUAGGCCUAAUGAUACAAAGAACAGUUCCCAAGGCUGCUAGGACAGGGUGGUCCAGGACUUGGUAAGCAUGAGUUAGAUAAAGGGUGUCUUUGUUUACGUCAGAGUUAAGAUGAAAACCACACCGAGCGGAAGAAGGCGUCCCACUCGAGCCCAGAGCCGACAGCACCUCAGCUGGACUCCACUAAUGAAGGACGUCGUAGGUAAAGUGGAAGUUAGGUGAGGCGUGAAGGUUCUGCAGAGAGAAGAUGAUGAUCCAGACCAUAGGUGAUUUCCACAGACAAGCAGCGCCACGUGGGUCCAGAACAGAAGUGAGAACACAGAAGAGGGGCCCAAGGCCAACAAGUGAACGGGAAGAAGCAUCAACCGUAAUAAUCAGCCCAAUGCACGUGACAGAACGUGUCACCGCACGCCUCUUGGGCCAGCAGGAAUUAGCUGGUGGAUGCCUGGUGUUGGUGACAGCCAGAGGACGUUGGGUCUCUGGUGCAUCCUGUGAGAGAUGUGCCGUGGUGGACGUGUGGAGAGCUGUCCGACACCAUGGGGCCACAUGAGGUCGCACAUCUCUGAUCAGCCAGAAGUCUCACCCCUGAGUCUGCAAAGAAAGCAGUUCUCAUGCUGGUCCCAAAGCGGCCCACGAGAGAACGUACCUAUAGCCACAUGCGUGAGGACAGCCUGAGUGGGUGGACAGGAGCUGCCCGCCACAGGAGCAGGCCACAGAGUGGAGUGGGAGCAGCCCUUCUGACCCGGGAAGGAGGAAGUACAGACUCCACCUGCUCGGCCACUGCAGCUACCUGGCUUCCCAGCACGUGUGCGGGCAGGAGCUGGGGCCCUGGAGUCAGUCCCCAGAGCAGGGCACUGGGGGAUGUAAAGCCUGGCCCCGGGCACAUCUGGCUUCCCCUGGUGCUUCUGGGCCUAGACUCCAAGACAGUUCUAGACGGUCGUCAGCCACAGGCAGGAAGAGCUUCUGGCCGAGAGCUGGGAAGGGCUCCUGCUUGUCAGGGAGGGGAGGGACCCUGUUGGCUUCUCCAUGUUUUCUCUGCUCUGCUCUUCGAGUCCCAGGCUGGGAGCUGAGCACAGGAGGGAGGGGUGCCCGUUGCCUUUGUGUUUCCUCGGCUGUCUUGGCCCCCGGCCUAGGAGACAGAAUCAGCUACACGAGGUGCACAGCAGAACCAGGAAACUAAACCCCAGUUUCUAAUUGGAAUAGGGAUUCCCCAAGAGCCAGAAAGCACUGGGGAGACACCCAGAGUGUGUGGGAAGCCACCAGAGGACGUGUAUGGACUCCAGGGCCUGCCUACCCUAGAUCCCACCAAACGGCCCAGCAGGAGCCCUCAGAGUUGGCACCCCACACUCAGGCCUGGGGGUGCACGGCCCCAUCACACUGGAAACCAUAGUUAGGACCCCAGUUCAGAGAAAGGGGCUGGCAGUGCAAACCUGGUCAAGCUGACCAUCUGCAAAACCCAAGCAUCGAUUAACAUUCUUCUUAGGAUUCAAAGGGAACCCAGAGCCUCACAACAAGAUAUUCACAGUAUCCAAGAUGCAAUCCAAAAGCAUGCAAUAUAAUAAAAACCUGGGAAAAUCUCAAUAAUCACAAGGGAAAAGACCUUCAUCAGACACUAAGAGGGGACACAGUGACAUUGUCAGAGACUUUACGGUCAGAGACCUUAGCCAUAAUCCAAGAAUAAUGGGGCAAGCGGGAAACUGGAGCAUCUCAACAGAGAACUAGAAGACAUAGAGAAUCCCAGAGCAAGACCAAGUGAGUACAAAGACUCACUAGAGUAGUCGUGAAAGAGACCCCUCCGAUGCAGUCACCCGCUGCU